CUACGGGCCGCAGCAACUGGGAAUAUUGCGCAAUGGGCGAAAGCCUGACGCAGCGACACCGCGUGUGGGAUGAAGCUCUUCGGAGUGUAAACCACUGUGGCAAGGGAAGAAUUUUGACUGUACCUUGCUAGAAAGCACCUGCUAACUACGUGCCAGAAGCCUCGGUAAUACGUAGGGUGCAAGCGUUAUCCGGAUUUACUGGGCGUAAAGGGUUCCGUCGGCGGUUUGUUAAGUUAUAUCUUAAAUACUGGGGCUCAACUCCAGAUACAGGGUGUAAUACUGGCAAACUUGAGUCUGUUCUGGGAAACUGGAACUCUCGGUGUAGGGGUGAAAUCCGUAGAUAUCGAGAGGAACGCCGAUCGCGAAAGCAGGUUUCUAGGACAGUACUGACGCUCAGGGACGAAAGCUUGGGUAGCAAAAGGGAUUAGAUACCCUGGUAGUC
RNAcentral lists this ribosomal RNA (442 nucleotides) under uncultured bacterium. Its description in RNAcentral is "partial 16S ribosomal RNA". It matches the Rfam family "Bacterial small subunit ribosomal RNA", at positions 339 to 795 of the family's 1533-position model. The record is from RNAcentral.